Bicyclus anynana (squinting bush brown) is the source of this 2195-nucleotide RNA transcript. It is a transcript of the gene named cell cycle checkpoint protein RAD17, with no coding region annotated. The transcript has 10 exons. The record is from RefSeq and is a predicted model, not a curated record. Lineage: Eukaryota; Metazoa; Arthropoda; Insecta; Lepidoptera; Nymphalidae.
UUCAACUGUCAAAGUGAAAUCGAAAAUUCAAAAGUCAAACUCAAAAUUCAAAUUUUAUACGAGAGUGCGUAGAGGAAUUGUAAUUUUGUAAAAAAGUUUAGUAAUUAAAUAUUAAAAAUACUACAACAACUAUUAACUACGUCGAAGACGAACCGAGAGACCGUUUUAAACUAGAUCUAAAUUGCGUCUAAAUAUUGAUAUUUUAAUGACACACGCUCCUGUUCCGCAGUAAUAAAAAAUGCAAAAGGAAAAAAAAUGGUUCAAGCCUCUGUUUGAAUUUGGCGAUAGCCCAAUUCCAAAAAAAGUUAAAAAAGAUUCAUCCAAAAUUCAAAAACCCAAAAAUAGCAAUAAGGAUUCAGCUGCAUGUCAGUCCAAUGGCAAUAUACCACAUAUAAAUGACAGAAAUUGGAUGAAAAAUUUUGAUCCAGUCAUUGUGGAGGAUCUGGCUGUUCACAAUAAAAAGGUGCAAGAAGUGGAUGAAUGGAUGAAAACAGCUUGUAUGAGCAGCAAGAGUGACAUGCUGUUACUCUCUGGUCCAGUGGGCUGUGGCAAAACAGCCACUAUAAGAACUCUUGCUGCUAAGUAUAAUAUCAAAAUAACGGAAUGGAUAACACCACUUGAUAUUGAAUAUCCUACUGAAUUUGGUGAUUAUGAGUUCAAGGUAUCACAGUCAAAAAAGUUCCUAGAAUUUAUUAUUAAUUCAGCAAAUUUUGUAUCACUAUUGGAUAAUAACAGCUGUAAACUGGUUUUGGUGGAAGAUUUUCCAAAUGUAUUUAUCAGAACACCAUCAGAGUUUACUGAUGUUCUACAGCAGUAUAAAGUAAGAGCAAAAUCUCCAAUUGUAUUCAUUUGUUCUGAUACACAUACAGACAAUAAAAACACAGCAUUUCAUCUUUUCUCACCAAGUUUGAAAGAGCAGUUUAAUAUUCAUCAUAUAAUGUUUAACAGUGUAUCAGCGACAGGUUUAAAAGCAGCUCUGAAACGGGCGACCGAGAUUAUAACUAAGAAAUACACCUCCACAUAUAACAUCCCCACAGCAGAUAUCAUUGAAUCUGUAGUCAACACUUCAGGUGGAGAUGUGAGAUCUGCAAUAUUAAAUUUACAUUUUGCAUCAUUAAAAGGUUCUAGCGGUAAUUUAGAAACUAGUAUUAUAAUAGAAAAGGAAGUCAAAAGUAAAACAACUAGAAAGAAAAAGAAUUCAGCAAACAAAUUCAUGUCCCUAGGAAAAGAUCAAACAGUAAGCAUUUUGCAUGGCGUUGGUAGAGUUUUGAACCCUAAAGAAUUGAUAAACAAUGAAGGGCAGAAAGUUCUAACCCACUGCCCAAAGGAUAUAAUUGAGCAAUUUCUAAGUCAACCUUCAUCAUUUAUUGGUUUUCUAGAAGAAAACUAUUUACCUCAUUUCUCAUGUGCAUAUGAUGUAGACAAGGCAGCUUCUGCUCUCAGUGAGAGUGACUUCUUGCUUGCAGAAUGGAGAUGUGAUUUCAGGAAAAGCUAUGUCAAGAGUAUGGUUUGUACACAGCAGUAGCAGGUCUGAUGUUGUCUAAUAAAUCCCCUGUGUCAGCUUGGAAUCCUGUCAGGGGUCCAAAAAACAUGAGAGUUACUUAUCCAGAUCUCCGUGAAUUACCGCUUUUGGAGCCAAAUUAUUUAUACAAGGGUAAAGUUCUUGUAACUGAUUACAUUACCUAUUGUAAAAUCAUUGGCAAUCAAACAAAAGACGUCGACGAAAAUACUUAAAAAUAUUGUAUGCUGCUGGAUAAAAGUGCCUAAAAGUGUAAUGACGUCGUACUUAAAAUGACACGUCACCGUCACUACUUAUUUCCAUUGUAUGAGAUCUAUAUUUUUUUCCAUUUGGGCCAGCAUACUAGAAGAAAAUCUCAUACUAUCUAGCAAUAUCUAGAUUAUUUGUUGGAAGACUAGUAAAGCCAAAUCCAGUUAUACCUUCAUAGCUUGAUAGGUAUUCAACAUCGAUCUCCUAUUAAAGCACAAUCGGCGAUCAAAAAACGUCCCCACUCAAUAAAUGCCAAACACAACUUCUUGGCACUCAAUUCAAGUAGUCGCAUUUGCAAAUUCAACCUUAAACUCAAUGCUUAAGGUUGAAUAUUUAUUGAACAUUGGACUAUAUUUAAAGGCCUUUAGGUAUAAUUUUCUUUAUCAAUAAUUCUAAAACUGUUAAAGCAAAAUUGGUCAGUUUUCCA